RNAcentral lists this ribosomal RNA (491 nucleotides) under uncultured bacterium. RNAcentral describes it as "bacterial SSU rRNA". It matches the Rfam family "Bacterial small subunit ribosomal RNA", at positions 39 to 518 of the family's 1533-position model. The record is from RNAcentral.
ACUACAGGCUUAACACAUGCAAGUCGAGGGGCAGCAUUAUCGAAGCUUGCUUUGAUAGAUGGCGACCGGCGCACGGGUGAGUAACGCGUAUCCAACCUUCCCUAUAGUAGAGAAUAGCCCGGCGAAAGUCGGAUUAAUGCUCUAUGUUGUAUUUAGAGGACAUCUGAAGAAUACCAAAGGUUUACCGCUAUAGGAUGGGGAUGCGUCUGAUUAGGUAGUAGGCGGGGUAACGGCCCACCUAGCCGACGAUCAGUAGGGGUUCUGAGAGGAAGGUCCCCCACAUUGGAACUGAGACACGGUCCAAACUCCUACGGGAGGCAGCAGUGAGGAAUAUUGGUCAAUGGACGAAAGUCUGAACCAGCCAAGUAAGCGUGCAGGAUGACGGCCCUAUGGGUUGUAAACUGCUUUUAUAUAGGGAUAAAGUCGGGGACGUGUCCCCGUUUGUAGGUACUAUAUGAAUAAGGACCGGCUAAUUCCGUGCCAGCCGCCGC